Long non-coding RNA from Mytilus californianus (California mussel), 2191 nucleotides. RefSeq lists it as uncharacterized. The transcript is spliced from 2 exons. The record is from RefSeq and is a predicted model, not a curated record. NCBI's taxonomy places the organism in Eukaryota, Metazoa, Mollusca, Bivalvia, Mytilida, Mytilidae.
AGAAAGGCAUUGCAAGAUUCACUAAUUUCAAAUUCUUAUAUAUAUUUUAGAUUUUAUUAACUUAUAGUGUUUAUCAUAAUCUUCCUAUUUUUUUGAUAAACUGAAACAGUAUACAGAAUGCUUUUUCAAUUCCUGUCAAAAAUGAAAACAAGUAUUAGAUCAUGAAGAUAUAUCUGACGGUUGCAUUUCUGUAAAUACCGACAAUGCAAUUUCCCAUUGGAACUUUUUUUACGGCUAAAACUGUACCAUUUUUAUACGACCGCAAAAAAAUUUUUGUGGUCGUAUAUUGGUAUGACGUUGGCGUCGUCGUCGUCGUCGUCGUCGUCGUCCGGCGUCGUCGUCCGAAUACACAUUAGUUUUCGCACUCUAACUUUAGUUUAAGUGUAUGGAUCUCAAUGAAAUUUUACUAUAAGGUUCAAUACGACAAAAGGAAGGUGGGGAUUGAUUUUGGGGGUUAUGGUACUAACAGUUAAGGAAUUAAGGGCCAAAAAGGGGCCAAAAAUAAGCAUUUUUGUAACUUCCAGACAUAACUUGUGUGUAAGUAUAUGGAUCUCUCUGACAUUGUACCACAAGGUUCCAUAUCACAAAGGGAAUACUGGGAUUGAUUUUUGGGGGUAAUUUCCUCCAAAUUUUGGGAAUUAGGGGCCAAAAAGGGGCAAAAAACAAGCAUUUUUCUAGUUUCAGGACAAUAACUUGUUUGUAAGUGUAUGGAUCUUUAUGAAAUUGUACUGCAAGGUUCCAUAUCACAAAGGGAAAGCUGGGUUGGAGUUUGGGGGUAAUUGCCCCAAACGUUUAGGAAUUAGGGGCCAAAAAGGGACAAAAAAACAAGCAUUUUUCUAGUUUCCAGACAAUAACUUGUGUUCAAGUGAAUGGAUCUCUCUAAAAUUGUACUGCAAGGUACCAUACCACAAAGGGAAAGCUGGGAUUGAGUGUGGGGGCGAUGAAUCAUAAGGGGGUUCAAAAAAUUUGGGGGGGGGGGAUUUUUUUUUCCUUUUUUUUCUUUAAAAUUUUCCAUUUUAAAUUGGUUAUUUCUGAUUUAUAUAUAAAAGCAAAUAAUAAUGAUAUGGUUUGAAUAGCAUACAUGUGAACCUCCCGACAGGUGUACAAUAAUCCUGUUUUCAGGAGGCUCCUCCUGACCUCCGUUUGAAGAGGAAAAUUAUAAUCCCGUGUAUGAAAUUUUUCAUGAAUGAAAAAUUUCUGCCCAACAUAUCAUCUCAGGCAUCUGGUGUAACUCACAUUACCUGAAGUUAUAUUUUACCUGUUAAUCAAUUAACAUGCAUAAUUAUAUGGCUUCACUUGUCAGCUUGGGUUUCAAACAUACUGGUAAUCAAUGAUUUUUUACCUCAGGCUAACUGCCGUUGUGUAACAAAAACUGUGUAUUUAUUGGGUUACUUCCCUUGAUUUAUCCUGUUUUAAGUUACUUUCCUUUUAAUAAUAAAAUUUUUUAAAAGAAUAUAAAUAAAAUAUAAAUUGAACAAAUAAUCAUAAAAGGAUGGUAAAUAAAUGAUUUUAAAUGUCUUAGGACAAAUAAAAAAAUAAUAAUUUGAAAAUUAUUUGAGGAUUCUAUACUUCCUUUCAAGGCUUAAAUUGAAAUUUAUAUAAUAACUAUGACCCUGGAUUUACAGUUAGAAUGAUUUUCUGAGUAUGCAAACAAAAGCUAUUUGCAGAUAGUUAAACAAAUGUUCUGGUUGCAAUAAAUGUUUUAUAGAAUAUGAAGUAAAAAAUUUAAAGAACAUAUUGAAAAAAAAAAUGUUAGAUUGAACAUGUAAAAUAUAAAGAUGGAGAAACUUUUUAAGUACAAGGGUACUAUAAACAUAAUAAAUUGGAUGGAAAGUUGAAGAAAACACACUUUAAAAGACCAUUUUUACAGCACACGGUUACAUUUACGACAAAAUUUAUGUCGAUUAAAAACCUCCUGAUCUGAGUCCUAAUCUCCUGACCAAAAUUUCCCAAUCUCCUGAUCUGAGUUUCACAGUCCAUCACAUGUAUGAAUAGGUAAAUUAAAAAAUUAUAAGUUCUUAGACCACUUUCAUUCUGUGUCAGAAACCUAUGCUGUGUCAAAUAUUUAAUUACAAUCCAAAUUCAGUGCUGUAUCAAGCUUGAAUGUUGUGUCCAUACUUGCCCCAACUGUUCAGGGUUUGACCUCUGCGGUCGUAUCAAGCUGCGCCCCAGCGGAGCAUUUUAUUACUAU